RNAcentral lists this ribosomal RNA (254 nucleotides) under uncultured bacterium. Its description in RNAcentral is "partial 16S ribosomal RNA". It matches the Rfam family "Bacterial small subunit ribosomal RNA", at positions 524 to 776 of the family's 1533-position model. The record is from RNAcentral.
UACGUAGGGUGCGAGCGUUGUCCGGAAUUAUUGGGCGUAAAGGGCUCGUAAGCGGUUUGUCGCGUCGGGAGUGAAAUCAUCUGGCUUAACUGUGGGCGUGCGGUCGAUACGGGCAUCACUGGAGUUCGGCAGGGGAGACUGGAAUUCCUGGUGUAGCGGUGAAAUGCGCAGAUAUCAGGAGGAACACCGGUGGCGAAGGCGGGAUCCUGGGCCAGUACUGACGCUGAGGAGCGAAAGCGUGGGGAGCAAACAGG